GGAAUCUUCGGCAAUGGGGGCAACCCUGACCGAGCAACGCCGCGUGAGUGAAGAAGGUUUUCGGAUCGUAAAGCUCUGUUGUAAGAGAGGAACGUGUGUGAGAGUGGAAAGUUCACACAGUGACGGUAACUUACCAGAAAGGGACGGCUAACUACGUGCCAG
RNAcentral lists this ribosomal RNA (162 nucleotides) under uncultured bacterium. RNAcentral's name for it is "partial 16S rRNA". It matches the Rfam family "Bacterial small subunit ribosomal RNA", at positions 358 to 511 of the family's 1533-position model. The record is from RNAcentral.